GACGUAGGGCGCGAGCGUUGUCCGGAUUUAUUGGGCGUAAAGAGCUCGUAGGCGGUCUGUCGCGUCUGCUGUGAAAACUCGGGGCUUAACCCCGGGCCUGCAGUGGGUACGGGCAGACUAGAGUGUGGUAGGGGAGACUGGAAUUCCUGGUGUAGCGGUGGAAUGCGCAGAUAUCAGGAGGAACACCGAUGGCGAAGGCAGGUCUCUGGGCCACUACUGACGCUGAGAAGCGAAAGCAUGGGGAGCGAACAGG
This 253-nucleotide ribosomal RNA is filed under the name uncultured bacterium. Its description in RNAcentral is "partial 16S ribosomal RNA". It matches the Rfam family "Bacterial small subunit ribosomal RNA", at positions 524 to 776 of the family's 1533-position model. The record is from RNAcentral.